RNAcentral lists this ribosomal RNA (794 nucleotides) under uncultured bacterium. Its description in RNAcentral is "bacterial SSU rRNA". It matches the Rfam family "Bacterial small subunit ribosomal RNA", at positions 73 to 858 of the family's 1533-position model. The record is from RNAcentral.
GGAGUAGCAAUACUCCCGCCGGCGACCGGCGCACGGGUGAGUAACACGUAUGAAACCUGCCCGUAGCAGGGGGAUAAGCGGAAGAAAUUCCGUCUAAUACCGCGUAACAACCCAUGGAGGCAUCUCCGUGGGUUUAAAGGAAGCGAUUCCGGCUACGGAUGGUCAUGCGUCGCAUUAGCUUGUUGGCGGGGUAACGGCCCACCAAGGCGACGAUGCGUAGGGGUUCUGAGAGGAAGGUCCCCCACACUGGUACUGAGACACGGACCAGACUCCUACGGGAGGCAGCAGUGAGGAAUAUUGGUCAAUGGCCGCAGGGCUGAACCAGCCAAGUCGCGUGAGGGAUGACGGUCCUAUGGAUUGUAAACCUCUUUUGUCAGGGAGCAAAGGGCGCCACGUGUGGCGUUUUGCGAGUACCUGAAGAAAAAGCAUCGGCUAACUCCGUGCCAGCAGCCGCGGUAAUACGGAGGAUGCGAGCGUUAUCCGGAUUUAUUGGGUUUAAAGGGUGCGCAGGCGGAAUGUCAAGUCAGCGGUAAAAUUUCGGGGCUCAACCCCGUCGUGCCGUUGAAACUGGCGUUCUUGAGUGAGCGAGAAGUAUGCGGAAUGCGUGGUGUAGCGGUGAAAUGCAUAGAUAUCACGCAGAACUCCGAUUGCGAAGGCAGCAUGCCGGCGCUCAACUGACGCUCAUGCACGAAAGCGUGGGUAUCGAACAGGAUUAGAUACCCUGGUAGUCCACGCAGUAAACGAUGAAUACUAACUGUCCGGGCAGAAUGAUGCCUGGGUGGUACAGCGAAAGC